UUUUUUCCUUUUUUAUCCCUAAUUUUUGCCUGAACCUUUUCAUUCAUUUUUUUUUUGGUUCGCCGGGAUGCCCAUUUUUGCCUGGACUGUUUUUAUUCUUUUCGUCCAGCGGGUAUCUUUACACGAAGUAUUUUUUAAUUGCGUCCGCAUUCACAGGGGAUGGAAAAUCUUCGCCAUCCAUGGUCGUUAACAACAAGGCUAUGUCAGAGAAAACCUUUUUGACCAUGAAUGGGAUCCAUAACAGUAUCCACUUGCCCCUACGAUCGUU
This 268-nucleotide long non-coding RNA is filed under the name Lathyrus oleraceus (garden pea). RNAcentral describes it as "Pisum sativum (pea) long non-coding RNA (PSAT_LNC008936)". The record is from RNAcentral. Lineage: Eukaryota; Viridiplantae; Streptophyta; Magnoliopsida; Fabales; Fabaceae.